RNAcentral lists this ribosomal RNA (305 nucleotides) under uncultured bacterium. RNAcentral's name for it is "bacterial SSU rRNA". It matches the Rfam family "Bacterial small subunit ribosomal RNA", at positions 337 to 659 of the family's 1533-position model. The record is from RNAcentral.
GCCUACGGGACGCAGCAGUGGGGGAUAUUGCACAAUGGGGGAAACCCUGAUGCAGCGACGCCGCGUGAGUGAAGAAGUAUUUCGGUACGUAAAGCUCUAUCAGCAGGGAAGAAAAUGACGGUACCUGAGUAAGAAGCCCCGGCUAACUACGUGCCAGCAGCCGCGGUAAUACGUAGGGGGCAAGCGUUAUCCGGAUUUACUGGGUGUAAAGGGAGCGUAGACGGCGAUGCAAGUCUGAAGUGAAAGGCGGGGGCCCAACCCCCGGACUGCUUUGGAAACUGUAUAGCUGGAGUGCAGGAGAGGUA